This 1435-nucleotide ribosomal RNA is filed under the name metagenome. Its description in RNAcentral is "bacterial SSU rRNA". It matches the Rfam family "Bacterial small subunit ribosomal RNA". The record is from RNAcentral.
AGAGUUUGAUCCUAGCUCAGGGCGAAUGCUAGCGGUGCGCCUAACACAUGCAAGUCGAGCGGGAAAUUCUUCUAGCUUGCUAGAAGAAUGGAUAGCGGCGAACGGGUGAGUAACGUGUUGGUAUCUGCCCCCAGGUCAGGGAUAGCCAUCUGAAAAGAUGAUUAAUACCGGAUAGUCUCUUCGGAGUAAAGAUUUAUCGCCUGGGGAGGAACCUACAUUCUAUCAGCUUGUUGGUAAGGUAACGGCUUACCAAGGCUAUGACGGAUAACUGGUCUGAGAGGAUGAUCAGUCACAAUGGAACUGAGACACGGUCCAUACUCCUACGGGAGGCAGCAGUGAGGAAUCUUCCACAAUGGGCGAAAGCCUGAUGGAGCGACACCGCGUGAAGGAUGAAGGUCUAACGAUUGUAAACUUCUUUUCUGGAGGAGCAUAAUGAGAGUACUUCAGGAAUAAGGGACGGCUAAUCACGUGCCAGCAGCCGCGGUAAUACGUGAGUCCCAAGCAUUGCCCGGAAUUACUGGGUGUAAAGGGUUCGUAGGUGGUUUGGAAAGUUGGUUAUGAAAGACCGGAGCUCAACUCCGUGUUUGUAUCCAAAACUAUCAAGCUAGAAUCAGGGAGAGGUAAGCGGAAUUCUGAGUGUAGGGGUGCAAUCCGUAGAUACUCAGAGGAACACCAAAAGCGAAGGCAGCUUACUGGGACUGUAUUGACACUCAUGAACGAAAGCGUGGGGAGCGAAAAGGAUUAGAUACCCUUGUAGUCCACGCCCUAAACGAUGAUAACUAAGUGUUGCACAUUGGUGCAGUGCUGUAGCUAACGCGUUGAGUUAUCCACCUGAGGAGUACGGUCGCAAGAUUAAAACUCAAAGGAAUAGACGGGGACCCACACAAGCAGUGGAUCACGUGGUUUAAUUCGACAAUAAACGGGGAACCUUACCCAGACUUGACAUCUAUCGAAUCUUUUAGAGAUAAAAGAGUGCCUUUAUUGGAGCGAUAAGACAGGUGCUGCAUGGUUGUCGUCAGUUCGUGCCUUGAGGUGUUCGGUUAAGUCCGUUAACGAGCGCAACCCAUUUCCUUAGUUACUAUGUCUAAGGAGACUGCCUUGGUUAACAAGGAGGAAGGUGUGGAUGACGUCAAAUCAGCAUGGCUUUUACGUCUGGGGCUACACACAUGAUACAAUGGUCUAUACAAAGAGCAGCAAAACUGCAAAGUUGAGCGAAUCUCAUAAAGUAGAUCUAAGUCCGGAUUGAGGUCUGCAACUCGACCUCAUGAAGUUGGAAUUGCUAGUAAUCGUGAAUCAGAUAUGUCACGGUGAAUGUGUUCCUGGGUCUUGUACUCACCGCCCGUCAUGGCAUGGAAGGAAGUAAUAUUGGAAGCUCCUCAAGCAAUAUGAGGGUCCAUAGUAGGACUUCUGACUGGGCUAAAGUCGUAACAAGGUA